This 253-nucleotide ribosomal RNA is filed under the name uncultured bacterium. RNAcentral describes it as "partial 16S ribosomal RNA". It matches the Rfam family "Bacterial small subunit ribosomal RNA", at positions 524 to 776 of the family's 1533-position model. The record is from RNAcentral.
GACGUAGGGGGCGAGCGUUGUCCGGAUUUAUUGGGCGUAAAGCGCGCGUAGGCGGCUCGUUAAGUCGGGUGUGAAAACCCGGGGCUCAACCCCGGGCCUGCAUCCGAUACUGGCGGGCUCGAGGCAGGCAGGGGAGAGUGGAAUUCCUGGUGUAGCGGUGAAAUGCGCAGAUAUCAGGAGGAACACCGGUGGCGAAGGCGGCUCUCUGGGCCUGUCCUGACGCUCAGGCGCGAAAGCCAGGGGAGCGAACGGG